AUUGAACGCUGGCGGCAUGCCUUACACAUGCAAGUCGAACGGCAGCACGGGAGCAAUCCUGGUGGCGAGUGGCGAACGGGUGAGUAAUAUAUCGGAACGUGCCCAGUCGUGGGGAUAACGUAGCGAAAGCUACGCUAAUACCGCAUACGAUCUAUGGAUGAAAGCGGGGGAUCGCAAGACCUCGCGCGAUUGGAGCGGCCGAUAUCAGAUUAGGUAGUUGGUGAGGUAAAGGCUCACCAAGCCGACGAUCUGUAGCUGGUCUGAGAGGACGACCAGCCACACUGGGACUGAGACACGGCCCAGACUCCUACGGGAGGCAGCAGUGGGGAAUUUUUGGGACAAUGGGCGCAAGCCUGAUCCAGCAAUGCCGCGUGCAGGAU
RNAcentral lists this ribosomal RNA (380 nucleotides) under uncultured bacterium. RNAcentral describes it as "bacterial SSU rRNA". It matches the Rfam family "Bacterial small subunit ribosomal RNA", at positions 30 to 409 of the family's 1533-position model. The record is from RNAcentral.